Molecule: long non-coding RNA, 471 nt
Organism: Hemicordylus capensis (graceful crag lizard)
Lineage: Eukaryota; Metazoa; Chordata; Lepidosauria; Squamata; Cordylidae
Exons: 2
Source: RefSeq, a predicted model, not a curated record
AAAGUCAUUAUCACCUGUUCUCAAGAGGAAGGGGCCUCAUCUUGAUCUUCUGUCUCAAGAAUAUCAAGUCAUUGUACUUUUGACCUUUCAAAAUAAGAUGUCCCAUGUCUGCCAGUUAUCAUUGACUACAAUGCCCCUUUCCUACCAGCAAGGACAUAAAAGCAAGUAAAAUUGAAGAUCAAGCAAGAGAACAGGAGGAGGAAGAGAGCAAAGCAUAAUGGAUGCUCUUUCAAUAGACAGUAAUGAAGUAUCCAUUUAUGGCAAUAGGGGAACCUCCAUAUCCCUAUGGGUUGAUGUCUGAAGGCUGCAGCAGCAGAUCUGAUGUAGUGAAGAGUUUCUUGUUGGAAAUGAUAGUGUACAGAGAACCAGAAUCAACCAUCAUCUGCACUUCAUCACCAUUAAAUGUAUAAAAUAUAUAUUUUAUGUAUAUAAAAUGUAUAAAAUAAAUAAAUAAAGGUUUACUUCACAAUG